Molecule: ribosomal RNA, 467 nt
Filed under: uncultured bacterium
Lineage: Bacteria
Description: partial 16S ribosomal RNA
Rfam family: Bacterial small subunit ribosomal RNA
Source: RNAcentral
GACGAACGCUGGCGGCGUGCUUAACACAUGCAAGUCGAACGGAAAGGCCUCUUUCGGGGGGUACUCGAGUGGCGAACGGGUGAGUAACACGUGAGUAACCUGCCCUUGACUUUGGGAUAACUUCAGGAAACUGGGGCUAAUACCGGAUAGGAGCUCCUGCUGCAUGGUGGGGGUUGGAAAGUUUCGGCGGUUGGGGAUGGACUCGCGGCUUAUCAGCUUGUUGGUGGGGUAGUGGCUUACCAAGGCUUUGACGGGUAGCCGGCCUGAGAGGGUGACCGGCCACAUUGGGACUGAGAUACGGCCCAGACUCCGACGGGAGGCAGCAGUGGGGAAUAUUGCACAAUGGGUGGAAGCCGGAUGCAGAAACGCCGUGGGCGGGAUGACGGCCUUCGGGUUGUAAACCGCUUUCGCUCAUGACGAAGCUUUGUGUGACGGUAGUGGGUAAAGAAGCACCGGCUAACUACGUG